CCUACGGGGGGCAGCAGUGGGGAAUAUUGGACAAUGGGCGAAAGCCUGAUCCAGCCAUGCCGCGUGUGUGAAGAAGGCCUUCGGGUUGUAAAGCACUUUCAGUGGGGAAGAAAGCCUUGGGGCUAAUACCCUCGAGGAAGGACAUCACCCACAGAAGAAGCACCGGCUAACUCCGUGCCAGCAGCCGCGGUAAUACAGAGGGUGCGAGCGUUAAUCGGAAUUACUGGGCGUAAAGCGCGCGUAGGCGGUCUGAUAAGCCGGUUGUGAAAGCCCCGGGCUCAACCUGGGAACGGCAUCCGGAACUGUCAGGCUAGAGUGCAGGAGAGGAAGGUAGAAUUCCCGGUGUAGCGGUGAAAUGCGUAGAGAUCGGGAGGAAUACCAGUGGCGAAGGCGGCCUUCUGGACUGACACUGACGCUGAGGUGCGAAAGCGUGGGUAGCAAACAGGAUUAGAUACCCUGGUAGUC
RNAcentral lists this ribosomal RNA (465 nucleotides) under Vreelandella stevensii. Its description in RNAcentral is "partial 16S ribosomal RNA". It matches the Rfam family "Bacterial small subunit ribosomal RNA", at positions 338 to 795 of the family's 1533-position model. The record is from RNAcentral. Lineage: Bacteria; Pseudomonadati; Pseudomonadota; Gammaproteobacteria; Oceanospirillales; Halomonadaceae.